AUUGAACGCUGGCGGCAGGCCUAACACAUGCAAGUCGAGCGGAUGAAGGGAGCUUGCUCCUGGAUUCAGCGGCGGACGGGUGAGUAAUGCCUAGGAAUCUGCCUGGUAGUGGGGGAUAACGUCCGGAAACGGGCGCUAAUACCGCAUACGUCCUGAGGGAGAAAGUGGGGGAUCUUCGGACCUCACGCUAUCAGAUGAGCCUAGGUCGGAUUAGCUAGUUGGUGGGGUAAAGGCCUACCAAGGCGACGAUCCGUAACUGGUCUGAGAGGAUGAUCAGUCACACUGGGACUGAGACACGGUCCAGAGUCCUACGGGAGGCAGCAGUGGGGAAUAUUGGACAAUGGGCGAAAGAGUGAUACAGAGAUACCGCGUGUGUGAAGAAGGUCUUCGGAUUGUAAAGCACUUUAAGUUGGGAGGAAGGGCAGUAAGUUAAUACCUUGCUGUUUUGACGUUACCAACAGAAUAAGCACCGGCUAACUUCGUG
This 484-nucleotide ribosomal RNA is filed under the name uncultured bacterium. RNAcentral's name for it is "partial 16S ribosomal RNA". It matches the Rfam family "Bacterial small subunit ribosomal RNA", at positions 30 to 507 of the family's 1533-position model. The record is from RNAcentral.